UAGUUUUGAAGAGUCCUCGAGCCGUAAGCCCCCACUUUGUAAUCUGUUUGUCUGCGAGUUUCAACUUGUAAUUUUGUUUAUGCAGACUUCAUAUUUAUGAUUUCUAUCACUGUCAGCAUUUGAUCAAACAUCAUAUGAUGUAAGCACUGAAACAAAAUGACUUGGUUUUUGGUGACAAGGAAUGAAACAAGUAUGUUCACUUUUGUAGGGGAUAGCAAGGCGAUUGGUGCAG
Molecule: unclassified non-coding RNA, 232 nt
Filed under: Hevea brasiliensis (rubber tree)
Lineage: Eukaryota; Viridiplantae; Streptophyta; Magnoliopsida; Malpighiales; Euphorbiaceae
Source: RNAcentral